Molecule: long non-coding RNA, 225 nt
Filed under: Capsicum annuum
Lineage: Eukaryota; Viridiplantae; Streptophyta; Magnoliopsida; Solanales; Solanaceae
Description: long non-coding RNA (CANN_LNC018731)
Source: RNAcentral
GCUAAAUAAAUACAUCUGAAUUAAACACGAUAAUCUAGAAAGAGACAUUCACACGCACAUUCCAACAUCCCGCGAAACACUUAUUCCUACAUUUCGCCUACCCGGCCUACGUUUGCCUACCCGCUCGACGACAUAUCGCAUUCAACAUCAACAAUGUAUCAAAAAUAUCAUAAUAUUCACUUUUAUCAAUUUUCGAUUCCCGUCCCCAAAUCUAUUUCAACCAAC